AAUUGCCUCCAUGGCCUUUUGGAGUCCCUUGGUGUAUCUCCAGAAUAAAUUUCAAUUACUCUACAUUUCAUCAUUGUUGGAGUGGCAGGAAAAAGGAGGAACUGAUCUGAGGUGAAAAGGUAUAACAAACUAAAACUUUAAAAAAAAGCAAAGAUGGGUGAAAAGAAACCAGAAGCUUUGGACUUUGUGUAAGAUGUUCAGGAAUACCUGACUCAGCAGACCCAUCAUGUGAACAUGAUUUGUGGAUCAGUAAGUGGGGACAGAAGCAGAGGCUCUUCAGGGAGCCGGAACAGAUGAUGAUCAAAAUGACUUGAUCACCCGUCUGUUCAAGUUUCCCUGGAUGAAAACUCAGGAGUGUUAGUAGACGGGUUUGAAAGGACAUUUGAUGGGAAGCUCAAGUGUCGGUACUGCAACUAUGCCAGCAAAGGAAAAGCCCGGCUUAUUGAACAUAUUAGAAUCCACACAGGUGAGAAACCUCAUAGACGUCAUCUAUGUCCAUUUGCAUCUGCUUAUGAACGUCAUCUGGAAGCCCACAUGCAUUUCUCAUACUGGAGAAAAAUCAUACAAAUGCAAAUUAUGUUCCUUCCGCUACAGUGAUUGAAGUAACCUGUCCCAUCAUUGAAGGUGCAUAAAAUGGUACCAAUUAAAGGCACUAGGUCUUCCUUAAGCAGCAAGAAAAUGGGGGGUUUACAGAAGAAAACAAGCAAUCUGGGCUAUAGCAGAAGAGCACUAAUCAAUUUAAGUCCACCUUCCACGGUGGUUUAGAAACCAGACUACCUUAAUGAUUUUACCCAUAAGAUCUCAAAUAUCCAGACUGAUUCCUAUGAAAGUAUGGCAAAAACCACACCAACUGGUGGCCUUCCAAGGGACCCCCAAGAACUCAGGGUUGACAACCCUUUGAAUCAGCUCUCGACUCUAGCAGGACAGUUGUCCAGUUUGCCUCCUGAAAACCAAAACCCUGCAUCCCCUGAUGUAGUCCCCUGCCCCAGUAAAAAGCCUUUCAUGAUUCAGCAGCUGUCUGCCCAGGCAGUAGUCUCAGCUGUGUCAGCAAGUACUCCCCAGAGCUCCUCUCCCACAAGCCCUGAACCUCGGCCAUCACAUAGUCAAAGGAACUAUAGCCCAGUGGCAGGUCCGAGCAGCGAGCCAAGUGCCCACACGAGCACUCCUAGUAUAGGAAAUAGCCAGCCAAGCACUCCAGCCCCCGCCCUGCCGGUCCAGGACCCUCAGCUUCUGCACCACUGCCAACACUGUGAUAUGUACUUUGCAGACAAUAUCCUUUACACUAUUCACAUGGGGUGUCAUGGGUAUGAAAACCCUUUUCUGUGUAAUAUAUGUGGAUGCAGAUGUAAAAAUAAGUAUGAUCUUGCCUGUCAUUUUGUAAGAAGGCAACAUAACCAACAUUGAUUGAAAACAAUCACAUUGGGGCGGCACCUGUGGCUCAGUGGGUAAGGCGCCGGCCCCAUAUACCGAGGGUGGUGGGUUCAAACCCAGCCCUGGCAAAACUGCAACAACAACAACAAAAAUAGCUGGACAUUGUGGUGGGCACCUAUAGUCCCAGCUAUUUGGGAGGCUGCAAGAGAAUCACUUCAGCCCAGAAGUUGGAGGCUGCAGUGAGCUGUGACUUCACGCACUCUACCGAGGGUUAGUAAGUGAAAAUCUGUCUCAAAAAAAAAGAAAGAAAGAAAACAAUCAAUUUGGCUAGGCAACCAUAGCAUAGUAG
Molecule: RNA transcript, 1720 nt
Organism: Nycticebus coucang (slow loris)
Lineage: Eukaryota; Metazoa; Chordata; Mammalia; Primates; Lorisidae
Gene name: zinc finger protein Pegasus-like
Exons: 2
Source: RefSeq, a predicted model, not a curated record